RNAcentral lists this ribosomal RNA (506 nucleotides) under uncultured bacterium. RNAcentral describes it as "partial 16S ribosomal RNA". It matches the Rfam family "Bacterial small subunit ribosomal RNA", at positions 28 to 523 of the family's 1533-position model. The record is from RNAcentral.
GAUGAACGCUAGCGGCAGGCCUAACACAUGCAAGUCGAGGGGCAGCACAUAAAGUGGUUUACUACUUUUAGUGGCGACCGGCGGACGGGUGCGUAACGCGUAUGCAACCUGCCUCCAACAGGGGGAUAACGGAGAGAAAUUUCCACUAAUACCCCAUAAUAUCAGAAUCGGCAUCGGUUUUGGUUGAAAACUCCGGUGGUUGGAGAUGGGCAUGCGUUGUAUUAGAUAGUUGGUGAGGUAACGGCUCACCAAGUCAACGCUACAUAGGGGGACUGAGAGGUUAGCCCACCACACUGGUACUGGGACACGGACCAGACUCCUACGGGAGGCAGCAGUGAGGAAUAUUGGUCAAUGGGGGCAACCCUGAACCAGCCAUGCCGCGUGCAGGAAGACGGCUCUAUGAGUUGUAAACUGCUUUUACAAGGGGAUAAAUCGGUGUACGUGUACACCGUUGAAGGUACCUUGGGAAUAAGGAUCGGCUAACUCCGUGCCAGCCGCCGCAGUAA